UUACAACAGUCAAACAUGACAACAGUCAAACAUUACAACAACAAACAUGACAACAGUCAAACAUUACAACAGUCAAACAUUACAACAACAAACAUGACAACAGUCAAACAUUACAACAGUCAAACAUUACAACAGUCAAACAUUACAACAGUCAAACAUGACAACAGUCAAACAUUACAACAGUCAAACAUGACAACAGUCAAACAUGACAACAGUCAAACAUUACAACAACAAACAUUACAACAACAAACAUGACAACAACAAACAUUACAACAGUCAAACAUGACAACAGUCAAACAUUACAACAGUCAAACAUUACAACAGUCAAAUAUUACAACAGUCAAACAUUACAACAGUCAAACAUUACAACAGUCAAACAUUACAACAGUCAAACAUUACAACAGUCAAACAUUACAACAGUCAAACAUGACAACAGUCAAACAUGACAACAGUCAAACAUUACAACAGUCAAACAUUACAACAGUCAAACAUUACAACAGUCAAACAUGACAACAUCAAACAUUACAACAGUCAAACAUUACAACAGUCAAACAUGACAACAGUCAAACAUUACAACAGUCAAACAUGACAACAGUCAAACAUGACAACAGUCAAACAUGACAACAGUCAAACAUUGACAACAGUCAAACAUGACAACAGUCAAACAUGACAACAGUCAAACAUGACAACAGUCAAACAUGACAACA
Oncorhynchus keta (chum salmon) is the source of this 707-nucleotide long non-coding RNA. RefSeq lists it as uncharacterized. Lineage: Eukaryota; Metazoa; Chordata; Actinopteri; Salmoniformes; Salmonidae. The transcript is spliced from 2 exons. The record is from RefSeq and is a predicted model, not a curated record.